UAAUAUAAUAUUUAGAGUUAAAAAUGUUUUUUUUUUUUAAUUUAGUAAUGCUCAAUUAAGUUUCUGAAUCUCAUUGAUGCUUAUCUUUCCCAUAAUUAAUAUUUUAAUCGAUGCUUAUGUAUGGGGGUUUAUUUGCUUAUUGUGUUUUUGGAGAAUGUUCUUACAUUGAUUAAAUAAGAUUUAACAUUGAUAAUAUACAGAUUAUGUACAUAUUUUUAGUAUUUCUUUUGCAAAAAUUUGUACUUAUAAUUUUUUUUAACUGUUGCAUAGUAAAUUCCAUUAGUCUUGUGUUUUCUUUCAGUUAUAUUUAUAUUUCUGAUACUUCAUUAUUCUUAAUCAUAAUUGACGAAAUUAAAAUCUUCUGCUUUUUUUAAAAUGAAAAAAAAAAAUUUGCUUACUUGGAUUUGCAAUUAUAAUUUUAAUUUGCAGUUUUAUCAAAUAAAAAUUUUAUUGAAUAUUUUCAAAAAUAAAUAAAUAAGUCCUGGAUUUGUAGGCAAAUUCGAUUGGAAAAGUCAGUGAAAAAACUUUUCUGACCAUAAACUCUGUUUGCUACUUCUAAAUAGAAAUGCGUAAAUGUUUUUUUGAAUGCUUAAAUGCAUUUUUAAUGGAUAUUUUAAUUUUUAUUAAAUUAUAUACGAAUUUUCUUAUUUAAAUGUAAUUUUGUAUUUAACAGGAUGUAACAUGUACUACUAUACUGAAUGGAGCUACUGUAAAGAAUUAUUGGAAAUUUAGUAUCCCGCUGCCCAAGUUCUAUUCAACUACAAGAUCUGCAAGUUACUAGUGGAACUACAUCUGUUGUUGUUGAUGACCUUGAAAUCACAGCUUGUUAUGCUGGGCAUGUAUUGGGUUUUGCAAUGUUUUUGAUAAAAGUAGGAUCACAAUCA
Molecule: non-coding RNA, 884 nt
Organism: Parasteatoda tepidariorum (common house spider)
Lineage: Eukaryota; Metazoa; Arthropoda; Arachnida; Araneae; Theridiidae
Source: RefSeq, a predicted model, not a curated record